RNAcentral lists this ribosomal RNA (429 nucleotides) under Chloroflexota bacterium. RNAcentral's name for it is "Chloroflexi bacterium partial 16S ribosomal RNA". It matches the Rfam family "Bacterial small subunit ribosomal RNA", at positions 355 to 776 of the family's 1533-position model. Lineage: Bacteria; Bacillati; Chloroflexota. The record is from RNAcentral.
UGGGGAAUAUUGCACAAUGGGCGCAAGCCUGAUGCAGCCAUGCCGCGUGUAUGAAGAAGGCCUUCGGGUUGUAAAGUACUUUCAGUCGGGAGGAAGGCGGUGAGGUUAAUAACCUCAUCGAUUGACGUUACCCGCAGAAGAAGCACCGGCUAACUCCGUGCCAGCAGCCGCGGUAAUACGGAGGGUGCAAGCGUUAAUCGGAAUUACUGGGCGUAAAGCGCACGCAGGCGGUUGAUUGAGUCAGAUGUGAAAUCCCCGGGCUUAACCCGGGAAUUGCAUCUGAUACUGGUCAGCUAGAGUCUUGUAGAGGGGGGUAGAAUUCCAUGUGUAGCGGUGAAAUGCGUAGAGAUGUGGAGGAAUACCGGUGGCGAAGGCGGCCCCCUGGACAAAGACUGACGCUCAGGUGCGAAAGCGUGGGGAGCAAACAGG